Molecule: unclassified non-coding RNA, 335 nt
Filed under: soil metagenome
Description: partial contains 5.8S ribosomal RNA, internal transcribed spacer 2, and large subunit ribosomal RNA
Rfam family: 5.8S ribosomal RNA (bases 1-120)
Source: RNAcentral
GAUGAAGAACGCAUCGAAAUGCGAUAAGUAAUGUGAAUUGCAGAAUUCAGUGAAUCAUCGAAUCUUUGAACGCACAUUGCGCCCGCCAGUAUUCUGGCGGGCAUGCCUGUUCGAGCGUCAUUUCAACCAUCAAGCCCCAGGCUUGUGUUGGGGACCUGCGGCUGCCGCAGGCCCUGAAAACCAGUGGCGGGCUCGCUGUCACACCGGGCGUAGUAGAUUUUAUCUCGCUCAGGGCGUGCUGCGGGUUCCGGCCGUUAAAAAGCCUUUUUUACCCAAGGUUGACCUCGGAUCAGGUAGGAAGACCCGCUGAACUUAAGCAUAUCAUAAGCGGAGGA